This 2411-nucleotide ribosomal RNA is filed under the name Escherichia coli. RNAcentral's name for it is "partial 23S ribosomal RNA". It matches the Rfam family "Bacterial large subunit ribosomal RNA", at positions 546 to 2925 of the family's 2925-position model. The record is from RNAcentral. Lineage: Bacteria; Pseudomonadati; Pseudomonadota; Gammaproteobacteria; Enterobacterales; Enterobacteriaceae.
GAACCUGAAACCGUGUACGUACAAGCAGUGGGAGCCUCUUAAUGGGGUGACUGCGUACCUUUUGUAUAAUGGGUCAGCGACUUAUAUUCUGUAGCAAGGUUAACCGAAUAGGGGAGCCGAAGGGAAACCGAGUCUUAACUGGGCGUUAAGUUGCAGGGUAUAGACCCGAAACCCGGUGAUCUAGCCAUGGGCAGGUUGAAGGUUGGGUAACACUAACUGGAGGACCGAACCGACUAAUGUUGAAAAAUUAGCGGAUGACUUGUGGCUGGGGGUGAAAGGCCAAUCAAACCGGGAGAUAGCUGGUUCUCCCCGAAAGCUAUUUAGGUAGCGCCUCGUGAAUUCAUCUCCGGGGGUAGAGCACUGUUUCGGCAAGGGGGUCAUCCCGACUUACCAACCCGAUGCAAACUGCGAAUACCGGAGAAUGUUAUCACGGGAGACACACGGCGGGUGCUAACGUCCGUCGUGAAGAGGGAAACAACCCAGACCGCCAGCUAAGGUCCCAAAGUCAUGGUUAAGUGGGAAACGAUGUGGGAAGGCCCAGACAGCCAGGAUGUUGGCUUAGAAGCAGCCAUCAUUUAAAGAAAGCGUAAUAGCUCACUGGUCGAGUCGGCCUGCGCGGAAGAUGUAACGGGGCUAAACCAUGCACCGAAGCUGCGGCAGCGACACUAUGUGUUGUUGGGUAGGGGAGCGUUCUGUAAGCCUGUGAAGGUGUACUGUGAGGUAUGCUGGAGGUAUCAGAAGUGCGAAUGCUGACAUAAGUAACGAUAAAGCGGGUGAAAAGCCCGCUCGCCGGAAGACCAAGGGUUCCUGUCCAACGUUAAUCGGGGCAGGGUGAGUCGACCCCUAAGGCGAGGCCGAAAGGCGUAGUCGAUGGGAAACAGGUUAAUAUUCCUGUACUUGGUGUUACUGCGAAGGGGGGACGGAGAAGGCUAUGUUGGCCGGGCGACGGUUGUCCCGGUUUAAGCGUGUAGGCUGGUUUUCCAGGCAAAUCCGGAAAAUCAAGGCUGAGGCGUGAUGACGAGGCACUACGGUGCUGAAGCGACAAAUGCCCUGCUUCCAGGAAAAGCCUCUAAGCAUCAGGUAACAUCAAAUCGUACCCCAAACCGACACAGGUGGUCAGGUAGAGAAUACCAAGGCGCUUGAGAGAACUCGGGUGAAGGAACUAGGCAAAAUGGUGCCGUAACUUCGGGAGAAGGCACGCUGAUAUGUAGGUGAAGCGACUUGCUCGUGGAGCUGAAAUCAGUCGAAGAUACCAGCUGGCUGCAACUGUUUAUUAAAAACACAGCACUGUGCAAACACGAAAGUGGACGUAUACGGUGUGACGCCUGCCCGGUGCCGGAAGGUUAAUUGAUGGGGUUAGCGGUAACGCGAAGCUCUUGAUCGAAGCCCCGGUAAACGGCGGCCGUAACUAUAACGGUCCUAAGGUAGCGAAAUUCCUUGUCGGGUAAGUUCCGACCUGCACGAAUGGCGUAAUGAUGGCCAGGCUGUCUCCACCCGAGACUCAGUGAAAUUGAACUCGCUGUGAAGAUGCAGUGUACCCGCGGCAAGACGGAAAGACCCCGUGAACCUUUACUAUAGCUUGACACUGAACAUUGAGCCUUGAUGUGUAGGAUAGGUGGGAGGCUUUGAAGUGUGGACGCCAGUCUGCAUGGAGCCGACCUUGAAAUACCACCCUUUAAUGUUUGAUGUUCUAACGUGGGCCCCUUACCGGGGUUGCGGACAGUGUCUGGUGGGUAGUUUGACUGGGGCGGUCUCCUCCUAAAGAGUAACGGAGGAGCACGAAGGUUGGCUAAUCCUGGUCGGACAUCAGGAGGUUAGUGCAAUGGCAUAAGCCAGCUUGACUGCGAGCGUGACGGCGCGAGCAGGUGCGAAAGCAGGUCAUAGUGAUCCGGUGGUUCUGAAUGGAAGGGCCAUCGCUCAACGGAUAAAAGGUACUCCGGGGAUAACAGGCUGAUACCGCCCAAGAGUUCAUAUCGACGGCGGUGUUUGGCACCUCGAUGUCGGCUCAUCACAUCCUGGGGCUGAAGUAGGUCCCAAGGGUAUGGCUGUUCGCCAUUUAAAGUGGUACGCGAGCUGGGUUUAGAACGUCGUGAGACAGUUCGGUCCCUAUCUGCCGUGGGCGCUGGAGAACUGAGGGGGGCUGCUCCUAGUACGAGAGGACCGGAGUGGACGCAUCACUGGUGUUCGGGUUGUCAUGCCAAUGGCACUGCCCGGUAGCUAAAUGCGGAAGAGAUAAGUGCUGAAAGCAUCUAAGCACGAAACUUGCCCCGAGAUGAGUUCUCCCUGACUCCUUGAGAGUCCUGAAGGAACGUUGAAGACGACGACGUUGAUAGGCCGGGUGUGUAAGCGCAGCGAUGCGUUGAGCUAACCGGUACUAAUGAACCGUGAGGCUUAACCUUACAACGCCGAAG